GGGGAAGUAUUGCUCUUGUCCUCCGCAUCGCCGACCGCUCAGAGAUCCGGGGCCUCGCUCCUUGGGCUAAAGGGCAGGCAGAGCCAAGGAGGAUCCUCUGCUCCCCCAAACAAGAAAACUAGUAGGGCUGCUUCCUCCUACACAGGGGAAGUGAAACAGCCCUGCCUUCGAGACAGGCCAGCAGGGGUGGAGCAAUAGCUCCAACAAGCGGCUGGCAGGCAAAGGACCUGUGGCAGCUGAAUACAUGCAGCGUAUCUAGCACUGGACACCCCUGUCCUCUCUCAGGAUGUAGCGACUGUGGGCGCCAGCGCUGUCUUCCGCUGCUCCAACCUCUGGAAGCUCAGACUCUUGUGUCUUUUCAGGCUCUCCUAAUGAUGUCUCCUCUCCCCCUGGCCCAGAUCUCAAGAUCCCCUCUCCUUGGCCAUUGUGUAUUCCUGAAAUCCAAACUUCCCCAGUGCUUUCUUCACACCUGCUUAGAGAGCGCUCUUCCAAGCACACCAGUGAGGCCUUUUGCCCACUCUGGGAAUCCCUGCUGGCACAAUCUAUCCCAGACAUGAGCCCCAAGCACCCCCCCCCCCCCCCCGUGGCUGGAGGAGUCCCAGCCAACCCCACCCCACCGAAUGCCAGGUCAGCUCCAGAGCCGGGCUGUGCUGCUGCCCCAACUCCCGCCACCCCAGUGACACUGGCUUCGGACAGAGAGAGAGGUUGGGGCCUCAGAAUGCAACAUGGGUGGGACCACAGCCCGGGUCAGGGGAGGCUUAGCCCGCCCUGGCCUAUGAUACCCACCGCCCAUGCUCCCGGAGCCUAUCCAGUUAAGAAACAGGGGGCUGAGCUGGUGUUAUAGUGGGACGUUUGCCUCCUCCUUUCCCCCUCCGCUUCAUUGGACUGGGAGACACAUCCAGGAUCUCUAAUUCUCAGGGGUCAGAGACAGACAGAUGCUUUCAGCUAAUUCAGCAUUGUUCAAACAAAUCGGCUCUCAGGCUGAAGCCUGGUUUGCCAAGGUUCAGUGCAGAGCCAAGUGCAUAGGCUGUGAAGGCCAGACACAAGCAUGAGAGGACUCUGGGGCAGGCGGCCCUUCACACCGUUCUGGGUUCCCUUUUCCUGGGAAUGCUGCAGGGGCAGCUAGCUCUGUGGUGAGAUGCAGGUCUGGAGACAUAGGUCAGGAGCAGAGAGGCAAGUUGAUGGGUAGCUGAAUUCAUGUGAGCCGAGUAGUGGAGAGGAUCAGCAAGUGGGUCAAUGGAAGAGGGACGUGAGAGCUGCUGAGAUACCUUGGGGUGGAAUUUUCCCCAUGCUUGUGUACUCAGGGUAAACCCCAGCAGCUGAAUUAGUGCAAACUUUGGCUUGUCCUUGCCCACACUUGCCCCUGUGUGGGUCAGCACGCAGAAGCAGUUAUGUUGAUUGCUGAAGCAGGGCAUUCUGAGUGGAGACAUGGCUUCAGUAAAUGAUGCUUCAGCAAUAAACUCAGUUAAGCAAGUGAAGAAUCAGCAGAGCUGUGAAAUAAAGUCUAUAGGGAGUAACAGUGAAAUCACCCUUUCCACUACACCAAGCUGCUUUCACUGGUGUGGAGACCAUUGUCUGCAGGCAGAUCCUGGCUGGAGCCCGGGGCAGAUUUGCAGGGUACCUCUUCCUGCCUGUCACCCAGACUCAACAGAACAUCUGGCUCCAAGCGGGAUGUGUGAUUUCCUCCUGCAGCACUCUGACUUCCCCUGCACUAGAGGGAGGCAGAUCAGGGCAGCUGACACCUACAAUAUCAAAGCCAGGACACUGGGGUUGGCAGGAGCUGGCAAACUAUUAGCCCAGGAUUUCCAGGGUGCAAAGGGGAGGACAGCAAGGAAGGGAGAGGAUGAAGAUGAAGAACAGCUGGAUUAAUAGAGAAUGGGGAGAGGGGGAUUCCAAACCUGUGAGCUUUUCCUUUGCCUCCGGGUUGGCCUUCUGUACAAGGUAAAGUUGGGGCGGGGGGAUUUCAGAGUUCUUUGUGGCUAGGCAGUAUGGGCUAGUUAGCGAGGACGCUGGGCUAGGAGUCAAGUGUCUUAGGUUCUAGUCCUGGCUCUGCUAUUGAUUGGCUGUGUGACCCUGGGCAAGUCACCUCUUCUCUGUGUGCCUCUUUCCAUGCCAGCCAGACCACGGUAAGUGCAUGUGGUGAUUCACAGGGCAAAUGAUCCGCCCUGCUGCCCGAGCUCUGCUCUAGUACAAUGGAGACGGGGGUUAUCAGAAAGCAGCCUGUAACUUCCUGAUCCCCACCUGUCUUGGUCCCAGUGGAAGUUAGAGCUGCCAGGAAGCUACUCUGAGUGGAGCAAGGCCUAAGUGAAUAGAGAACUGAGCGAUUACACUGUCAGCUAAGCAGGUGAAGAAUCCGGGACCUUAUGCCAGUGGAGGAUUGGGCAUAGCAGAUUCCUGCUUCCCCGCACCCUUGCCGCCCACCUGGAAUACCCCCAACAGGCUUUGCACCUCUACACCAGAGGUUCUGGGGGCGUCUGGUCCAGGAAGUGGCUAUGCUGGCAGAGUUCCCCUGCACAAGGGGAAGUCGCCACGGGCCAUCUCUGUCCACUUUAAACCCACAUUGGGCUGCUUACGGCAGUGGACUUAGCAGACCAGAGAAUCCAACCCAAGGUCCUUUCCCUGCAGAGCUCAUAAAGGAACACAGACCUGACAGGACAGGAGUUCAGCCACCCAGCGUGUGGAGACAACACGGGUGAGGAGAGCGAGCAGCCCAGGGAGGGGAGGGGUGAGGAAGGAAGGGGAGAGGCCUUGGUGGAGGAGAGAUUGUUCCAUGCAGAUCUGGGGAAAGCUUGUUCAUUGCAACACUCCAUUUCUAAGCAGGGGAUGGAGGGGAUAGCUUUGUCCCAGGAGUCACCAUGCCUCUGCAGUGGUGUAUGCUGGCAGUUCACACACUGCAGGCCCCAAAUUCCAGGCAGGGGUUAGUUUACACUCAGCUGGUUCCUGAUCUGGAGAGCUACAGGUGGCUGCCUCAUCCCAGUUCUUGUGCAGGAAACAUGGGGGUAAGAGACAGCACAAAGCAGACAGCUGUGCCGGAGGUGCAGGAACCAGCCCUGUGGAGAUGCACGUGAGGGGGCUCUGCGAGGUCUGCGAGCCACCGGGAAUCAUCCAGAGCAGCAAGCGAAGGCCGAGACUGAACGGACUGAGAUCAGCCUAGUGCUGGACAUGCUGCUCUUCUGGAUCUACUCGGCACCCUGUGGACAGCCUGGUACAGGUCCCCCUAGCACCAUAGCUGUAGUUUGACUUCUAUGUUUGGGGCACCUCCAGCCAGGCCAAUGGGGCUAUGCGUGGGGGGCAAAUUCCGUGCCUGCUGGAGGCUUGUAAUUUGGGGGGCAGUGCCCCCCCUGCUCCCACAAACCACACCCAUGCCUAGCAGCCAUCCCAGAAACUCCCAACCACCUAGCCCUGGCCCUCCAGUGGCAAACAUGGAACCCAGGGGCUUUCAAAAAGUUUGACCCUAUUUCCAAGUGCCCAGCAGGGUUUUAAACUAUGUGAUCCCCACCGACCUCACUGGAAGUCGCACAGCUAAACUCUGCUGGCUCGUGGCGAGCAGAACAGAAUUCCUGGUCAGGGAACGUUGUGCCUUGCUAGUCCUGCUUGGGGGAGUCCAUUUCACACUGUCCCUGACCCCUCUGCAGCAGCAAUUCUUCCCAAAGGUAUGUUACUCCUCCAUUUCCAGGCAGGAGAGUGGCACUUCUCUAAGGCACAGGAUGGCAGGGUCAGCCUGGGACCUGACAAUCCAGCUAGAUUCAUGCUCCUCAGCCCCAGCCACCACGAUCCUAGACUUCACAUGAAGCUGCCAGUUCUGUAGCUGAUGCCUAAGGUGGAUAGAUCCCAGCCCACCUUUGUGUGGCUCUCGGGAGUUUGUGGGGCCAAAUGAAGUGAAACCCUGGGGUGAAGCACAGCACACACAACUGCAGCCCAGGGGUGGGGUGCAAAGGUGGAGUCUAGGAUGGCUGGGGACCGAAAUAGCCCAUGGUAUGACUUAGAUAGUUCCAGGGAGCAGCUCUAAGUUACACCAGCCUCCCGAGAACUACCUAUGGGCAGCUCCACAACCUAGAGCUCCCCAGAAUCCCCACAGCAGCAUGGACUUCAGCCCCAUCCCCUCUCACUCUAACACACCCCCAGCCUGUCUGUGGCGCACCCCCUUAGCCAGGGAGUGGGAGGGAGCCUGCAUGGGACAGCCUACAGCUGUCCACCAAGAUCCGGGUGCUGGGGGAUUCUCUCCACUGUACUCCACCAUAGCAGCACAAAGGAGCGGGACCAGAGGUUAUCCCUCCACUGGGCGGCAACCCAAGAGCAGAAGUGACUCAGUGGAUACAUGGGGCAGAACUGGCUGGCAGCUGACACUUUGUACCAUGACAGCAGUUUAACCCUUUGCUAUUCUGAAGAGCUUUUGGGAGCUCCAUAGUUAAGGCUGCAGCCAGCUUCCAUUAAAAAGCUCUCUCUUAAUACUGUCCCCUCCCCCCCCCCUUAUCAUUUUGUUUGGGAAAAUAUGCUUGGCCUACAGAUUUACUCUGGCGCCUCAGGAAAACAGGUUGGCCAAGUCUGAGGAGGAUUUGUCAAGCCAUUUUGGCGUUACAGCUAAUUGCCCCAAGUGGAAAUUUUUACUUGUAACUUCCCCUAGUUCAGAAGUGGCUUGUUCCUGCCCCUGCCAGUUUUCCAGGGUGCCAUCCUGGAGACUCGGGUGUUGGCUGCAUUUGAGGAAAAUAGGAUGGAAUUAUCUUUGGGGCAGGUAGAGACUCUCUGUUCCGGGUUUGUGCAGCGCCUAACACCAUGGUGCACUGGCCCAUGGCUGGGGUUCUAGGAUAGACAGAUAAAUAGAUAAAUACAUAAAU
This is a long non-coding RNA of Chelonia mydas (Green sea turtle), 4835 nucleotides long. RefSeq lists it as uncharacterized. The record is from RefSeq and is a predicted model, not a curated record. The transcript has 2 exons. NCBI's taxonomy places the organism in Eukaryota, Metazoa, Chordata, Testudines, Cheloniidae.